RNAcentral lists this ribosomal RNA (423 nucleotides) under uncultured bacterium. RNAcentral describes it as "bacterial SSU rRNA". It matches the Rfam family "Bacterial small subunit ribosomal RNA", at positions 207 to 622 of the family's 1533-position model. The record is from RNAcentral.
AAGACCUUGCGCUUUUGGAGCGGCCGAUGUCUGAUUAGCUUGUUGGUAAGGUAAAAGCUUACCAAGGCUUCGAUCAGUAGCUGGUCUGAGAGGACGGCCAGCCACACUGGGACUGAGACACGGCCCAGACUCCUACGGGAGGCAGCAGUGGGGAAUUUUGGACAAUGGGGGCAACCCUGAUCCAGCCAUGCCGCGUGAGUGAAGAAGGCCUUCGGGUUGUAAAGCUCUUUCAGCCGGAACGAAACGGUUACGGUUAAUACCCGUGACUACUGACGGUACCGGAAGAAGAAGCACCGGCUAACUACGUGCCAGCAGCCGCGGUAAUACGUAGGGUGCGAGCGUUAAUCGGAAUUACUGGGCGUAAAGCGUGCGCAGGUGGUUUUGUAAGUCAGAUGUGAAAGCCCCGGGCUCAACCUGGGAACU